AGUGAACGCUGGCGGUAGGCCUAACACAUGCAAGUCGAACGGCAGCACAGUAAGAUCUUGCUCUUACGGGUGGCGAGUGGCGGACGGGUGAGGAAUACAUCGGAAUCUACUUUUUCGUGGGGGAUAACGUAGGGAAACUUACGCUAAUACCGCAUACGACCUACGGGUGAAAGCAUGGGAUCUUCGGACCUUGCGCGAUUGAAUGAGCCGAUGUCGGAUUAGCUAGUUGGCGGGGUAAAGUCCCACCAAGGCGACGAUCCGUAGCUGGUCUGAGAGGAUGAUCAGCCACACUGGAACUGAGACACGGUCCAGACUCCUACGGGAGGCAGCAGUGGGGAAUAUUGGACAAUGGGCGCAAGCCUGAUCCAGCAAUACCGCGUGGGUGAAGAAGGACUUCGGGUUGUAAAGCCCUUUUGUUGGGAAAGAAAAGCAGCAGGUUAAUACCCCGCUGUUCUGACGGUAACCAAAGAAUAAGCACCGGCUAACUUCGUG
Molecule: ribosomal RNA, 492 nt
Filed under: uncultured bacterium
Lineage: Bacteria
Description: partial 16S ribosomal RNA
Rfam family: Bacterial small subunit ribosomal RNA
Source: RNAcentral